This 453-nucleotide ribosomal RNA is filed under the name uncultured Bacteroides sp. RNAcentral describes it as "partial 16S ribosomal RNA". It matches the Rfam family "Bacterial small subunit ribosomal RNA", at positions 341 to 792 of the family's 1533-position model. The record is from RNAcentral. Lineage: Bacteria; Pseudomonadati; Bacteroidota; Bacteroidia; Bacteroidales; Bacteroidaceae.
ACGGAAGGCAGCAGUGAGGAAUAUUGGUCAAUGGGCGGAAGCCUGAACCAGCCAAGUCGCGUGAAGGAUGAAGGUAUUAUGUAUUGUAAACUUCUUUAGACGCAGAGAAAUAAGGAGGUCGUGACCUCUGAUGCUAGUAUGCGUAGAAUAAGGAUCGGCUAACUCCGUGCCAGCAGCCGCGGUAAUACGGAGGAUCCGAGCGUUAUCCGGAUUUAUUGGGUUUAAAGGGUGCGCAGGCGGUCUUUUAAGUCAGUGGUUAAAUCGUGAGGCUCAACCUCAUCACGCCAUUGAUACUGGAGGACUUGAUUGCGGUUGGGGUUGGCGGAAUUCGUCGUGUAGCGGUGAAAUGCAUAGAUAUGACGAAGAACACCGAUUGCGUAGGCAGCUGACCAGGCCGUAAAUGACGCUCAUGCACGAAAGUGCGGGGAUCGAACAGGAUUAGAUACCCUGGUA